AGCAGCCGCGGUAAUUCCAGCUCCAAUAGCGUAUAUUAAAGUUGUUGCAGUUAAAAAGCUCGUAGUUGAAUUUCGAGAUCGGCUUACUGGUCGUGCUUUUGUACGUACUGUUAAAUCGGUUUCUCCUUUCUGACGAACUUUAAUGCCACUAAUUUGGUGUUUUAGGGAAUCAGGACUGUUACUUUGAAAAAAUUAGAGUGUUUAAAGCAGGCUCACGCUUGAAUACAUUAGCAUGGAAUAACGGAAUAGGACGUUUGAUUCUAUUUUGUUGGUUUCUAGGAUCGACGUAAUGAUUAAUAGGGAUAGUUGGGGGCAUUAGUAUUCAAUUGUCAGAGGUGAAAUUCUUGGAUUUAUUGAAGACUAACUACUGCGAAAGCAUUUGCCAAGGAUGUUUUCAUUAAUCAAGAACGAAAGUUAGGGGAUCGAAGACGAUCAGAUACCGUCGUAGUCUUAACCAUAAACCUAUGCCGACUAGGGAUCGGAUGAUGUUAAUUUUUUAAUGACUCAUUCGGCGCCUUAC
RNAcentral lists this ribosomal RNA (520 nucleotides) under uncultured Glomus. Its description in RNAcentral is "SSU rRNA". It matches the Rfam family "Eukaryotic small subunit ribosomal RNA", at positions 569 to 1091 of the family's 1831-position model. The record is from RNAcentral. Lineage: Eukaryota; Fungi; Glomeromycota; Glomeromycetes; Glomerales; Glomeraceae.